This 468-nucleotide ribosomal RNA is filed under the name uncultured bacterium. RNAcentral's name for it is "partial 16S ribosomal RNA". It matches the Rfam family "Bacterial small subunit ribosomal RNA", at positions 28 to 507 of the family's 1533-position model. The record is from RNAcentral.
GACGAACGCUGGCGGCGUGCUUAACACAUGCAAGUCGAACGGAAAGGCCCUGCUUUUGUGGGGUGCUCGAGUGGCGAACGGGUGAGUAACACGUGAGUAACCUGCCCUUGACUUUGGGAUAACUUCAGGAAACUGGGGCUAAUAUCGGAUAGGAGCUCCUGCUGCAUGGUGGGGGUUGGAAAGUUUCGGCGGUUGGGGAUGGAUUCGCGGCUUAUCAGCUUGUUGGUGGGGUAGUGGCUUACCAAGGCUUUGACGGGUCGCCGGCCUGUGAGGGUGACCGGCCACAUUGGGACUGAGGUACGGCCCAGACGCCUACGGGAGGCAGCGGGGGGGAAUAUUGCACAAUGGGCGGGAGCCUGAUGCAGCAACGCCGCGGGCGGGAUGGCGGCCUUCGGGUUGUAAACCGCUUUCGCCUGUGACGAAGCGUGAGUGACGGUAAUGGGUAAAGAAGCACCGGCUAACUACGUG